This 433-nucleotide ribosomal RNA is filed under the name uncultured bacterium. RNAcentral describes it as "partial 16S ribosomal RNA". It matches the Rfam family "Bacterial small subunit ribosomal RNA", at positions 29 to 507 of the family's 1533-position model. The record is from RNAcentral.
AACGAACGCUGGCGGCAUGCCUAACAUAUGCAAGUCGAACGAGACCUUCGGGUCUAGUGGCGCACGGGUGUGUAACGCGUGGGAACCUGCCCUUAGGUUCGGAAUAACUCCCCGAAAGGGGUGCUAAUACCGGAUAAUGUCUUCGGACCAAAGAUUUAUCGCCUUUGGUUGGGCCCGCGUUGGAUUAGCUAGUUGGUAGGGUAAAAGCCUACCAAGGCGACGAUCCAUAGCUGGUCUGAGAGGAUGAUCAGCCACACUGGGACUGAGACACGGCCCAGACUCCUACGGGAGGCAGCAGUGGGGAAUAUUGGACAAUGGGCGAAAGCCUGAUCCAGCAAUGCCGCGUGAGUGAUGAAGGCCUUAGGGUUGUAAAGCUCUUUUACCCGGGAUGAUAAUGACAGUACCGGGAGAAUAAGCUCCGGCUAACUCCGUG